Molecule: ribosomal RNA, 255 nt
Filed under: uncultured bacterium
Lineage: Bacteria
Description: partial 16S ribosomal RNA
Rfam family: Bacterial small subunit ribosomal RNA
Source: RNAcentral
AUGCCUACGGGACGCAGCAGUGAGGAAUAUUGGUCAAUGGCCGGGAGGCUGAACCAGCCAAGUCGCGUGAGGGAUGACGGCCCUACGGGUUGUAAACCUCUUUUGCCGGGGAGCAAAGAGCGGGACGCCUCCCGCCUCGAGAGUACCCGGAAAAAAAGCAUCGGCUAACUCCGUGCCAGCAGCCGCGGUAAUACGGAGGAUGCGAGCGUUAUCCGGAUUUAUUGGGUUUAAAGGGUGCGCAGCCGGAAGCGCAUG